Molecule: ribosomal RNA, 1290 nt
Filed under: Alcaligenes faecalis
Lineage: Bacteria; Pseudomonadati; Pseudomonadota; Betaproteobacteria; Burkholderiales; Alcaligenaceae
Description: bacterial SSU rRNA
Source: RNAcentral
GUGGCUAAUACCGCAUACGCCCUACGGGGGAAAGGGGGGGAUCGCAAGACCUCUCACUAUUGGAGCGGCCGAUAUCGGAUUAGCUAGUUGGUGGGGUAAAGGCUCACCAAGGCAACGAUCCGUAGCUGGUUUGAGAGGACGACCAGCCACACUGGGCACUGAUGACACGGCCCACACUCCUACGGGACGCAGCAGUGGGGAAUUUUGGACAAUGGGGGAAACCCUGAUCCAGCCAUCCCGCGUGUAUGAUGAAGGCCUUCGGGUUGUAAAGUACUUUUGGCAGAGAAGAAAAGGUAUCCCCUAAUACGGGAUACUGCUGACGGUAUCUGCAGAAUAAGCACCGGCUAACUACGUGCCAGCAGCCGCGGUAAUACGUAGGGUGCAAGCGUUAAUCGGAAUUACUGGGCGUAAAGCGUGUGUAGGCGGUUCGGAAAGAAAGAUGUGAAAUCCCAGGGCUCAACCUUGGAACUGCAUUUUUAACUGCCGAGCUAGAGUAUGUCAGAGGGGGGUAGAAUUCCACGUGUAGCAGUGAAAUGCGUAGAUAUGUGGAGGAAUACCGAUGGCGAAGGCAGCCCCCUGGGAUAAUACUGACGCUCAGACACGAAAGCGUGGGGAGCAAACAGGAUUAGAUACCCUGGUAGUCCACGCCCUAAACGAUGUCAACUAGCUGUUGGGGCCGUUAGGCCUUAGUAGCGCAGCUAACGCGUGAAGUUGACCGCCUGGGGAGUACGGUCGCAAGAUUAAAACUCAAAGGAAUUGACGGGGACCCGCACAAGCGGUGGAUGAUGUGGAUUAAUUCGAUGCAACGCGAAAAACCUUACCUACMCUUGACAUGUCUGGAAAGCCGAAGAGAUUUGGCCGUGCUCGCAAGAGAACCGGAACACAGGUGCUGCAUGGCUGUCGUCAGCUCGUGUCGUGAGAUGUUGGGUUAAGUCCCGCAACGAGCGCAACCCUUGUCAUUAGUUGCUACGCAAGAGCACUCUAAUGAGACUGCCGGUGACAAACCGGAGGAAGGUGGGGAUGACGUCAAGUCCUCAUGGCCCUUAUGGGUAGGGCUUCACACGUCAUACAAUGGUCGGGACAGAGGGUCGCCAACCCGCGAGGGGGAGCCAAUCUCAGAAACCCGAUCGUAGUCCGGAUCGCAGUCUGCAACUCGACUGCGUGAAGUCGGAAUCGCUAGUAAUCGCGGAUCAGAAUGUCGCGGUGAAUACGUUCCCGGGUCUUGUACACACCGCCCGUCACACCAUGGGAGUGGGUUUCACCAGAAGUAGGUAGCCUAACCGUAAGGAG